GGGCAAGUCUGCAUAGCGGCGAUUGCAGCGGACUGUAAAUCCGUAACAUCAGAAACACCGUAGGUUCGAGUCCUACCUUGCCCA
This 84-nucleotide transfer RNA is filed under the name Hominimerdicola alba. RNAcentral describes it as "Ruminococcus albus tRNA_Tyr_GTA". It matches the Rfam family "tRNA". From Rfam's summary of the family: Transfer RNA (tRNA) molecules are approximately 80 nucleotides in length. Their secondary structure includes four short double-helical elements and three loops (D, anti-codon, and T loops). Lineage: Bacteria; Bacillati; Bacillota; Clostridia; Eubacteriales; Oscillospiraceae. The record is from RNAcentral.